AAGUCGUAACAAGGUAACCGUAGGUGAACCUGCGGUUGGAUCAUUACUGAUUUUGCCAAGGUUAGUCGAGUCUCUUUGAGAUUCCUUUCCGCGGUAAUAUACCACUGUGCACUAUGCUGUAUUUUGGGUGAUUGGGGCUAGUACUCGACACCCAGCAUCAUAUGAACCAAUGAAAUUUUUUGUCUGAAAUCGAUUCUAAAUAGAAACAACUUUUGACAACGGAUCUCUUGGCUCUC
Molecule: unclassified non-coding RNA, 236 nt
Filed under: fungal sp.
Lineage: Eukaryota; Fungi
Description: partial internal transcribed spacer region
Rfam family: Eukaryotic small subunit ribosomal RNA (bases 1-46)
Source: RNAcentral